RNAcentral lists this ribosomal RNA (254 nucleotides) under uncultured bacterium. RNAcentral's name for it is "partial 16S ribosomal RNA". It matches the Rfam family "Bacterial small subunit ribosomal RNA", at positions 524 to 776 of the family's 1533-position model. The record is from RNAcentral.
UACGUAGGGGGCAAGCGUUGUUCGGAAUGACUGGGCGUAAAGGGUGCGUAGGCGGUGUAGCAAGUUAGAAGUGAAAUACCUAGAGCUUAACUCAGGUGCUGCUUCUAAAACUGCUAUACUUGAGUGCAGUAGAGGAAAGUGGAAUUCCUAGUGUAGCGGUGGAAUGCGUGGAUAUUAGGAGGAACAUCAGUGGCGAAGGCGACUUUCUGGACUGUAACUGACGCUGAGGCACGAAAGUGUGGGGAGCAAACAGG